Molecule: long non-coding RNA, 2867 nt
Filed under: Homo sapiens (human)
Lineage: Eukaryota; Metazoa; Chordata; Mammalia; Primates; Hominidae
Description: HSALNT0226192
Source: RNAcentral
AUGGCCAUCUUGGAGCUAGUUCUCAAUGUGGGAAAAAAUCAGUUCUAUGUCAAAAAUCUUCAGAAAAUGAGAGACGAGACCUGAGUCUUCAGGCUUACUUUCAUGUACGGAGAUGACAUGCUUGCACUCAACUUAUCGGUGAGUGGGAGGGCAAGUCUCUGCGUGGGAAGAACAAAUGGCCCCUCCCCAAGCAGGCUGAGCCAUCGUCGCCGGGCCUUGAACCCCUAGCUGAACACACACGCAGGCAGAAACUGAUUUCCCCUAAAACAGAGGUUAGCGGAUCUUUGGAAUCCAAGAUUCUGGACGGCCUCGGGUCUCCCGGGAGGGGCCCUGGGCGGCCUCGGGUCUCCCGGGGAGGGCCCUGGGCGGCCUCGGGUCUCCCGGGGAGGGCUCUGGGCGGCCUCGGGUCUCCCGGGAAGACCCUCUUCAAAGAGCACUUCUGCUUUCUCACCAGUGCUGCCAAGACCCCCGAUGCUCCAGAAUGGCCAUCAGUGCCGGGCCCCACCCCCAUCCUCUCCACCUGAAUGGGCACUGGCUGGGGGCCCUGUGCUUCACAGCAUUUCACAGAACAUAAGAAGAGUUAAGUGCCCUGGAAAUGGAACUAGAGGCAGGACAGAAGCCUCAAUAAGGCCGUGGGCAGUGAGCGCCCGCCAGCAAGGAUGUGCCUCGGCAGAAGCCCCCUGGGGCAGGGACAGGGCAGGCUCAAGACAGGCCAGGUCCCGUUCUUCAGGAAGCCGUCCCAGAUUGCCAGCAUGAGCCUGUAUGCUCACUCACCUCUUCUGCUAGGCUAGGGCUGCUGUGGAAAGCUCCAAAGUGGCCCGUUUCUUCACCAGACCCUUCUGGAGAGCUGCCCACCCAGGGGCUUCACCGCAAGCGAAAUCAACACGAUGCCCAACGGGCACGUCAAUAUGUGCAAAGCACUCAAAACCGUCUUCUGUAACUGGGAGUUAGACAUGAGGGCCAGCCACAAGAGCUCCCCUGCUGAGACACAGUGAGCUCCCUCACACGCUCACUGUGAGUAUUCAAAACUCCAUUUAAACUGACAAUCCUGAAAGCUGUUUACAUAUCUGUUCUUAAAGACUAAAUCUUUAACUUUCCCAAUUCUGUCUCAUGAGCUCAAUGAAAGAAAUCUUUUAGUAAAAUGCAGAAAGUAUCCUCUUUCACACACAGGACAGACAGCACAGCUUGCAAAGACCGAUCACUUCCUCCCACCAAGACAAGCACUGGCCUGGGCUGCGCAUGCAGGGGAGGAGGCAGGGCCCUGGUGGCCCCACAGCGUGCAGGGUGGGAGGCGGGGCCCCAGGGAGAGUCCCGCUGCCUGAGAGGCUCCUGGUCGCCUCGGGGCAGGCCCUCAAGGGGGCUGUGGGUAUCCGGAGUCCCCCACACCCUGGGAACAGACAGCAAGGCCAGGCGCUGGUCAGUUACCUAUUCAUUUCAAGAUCACUCAGGCGGGCAGAAAGAUCCUCAAGGCGGUUGAUUUGUUUGUGGCACUGGCUACAGUAAAACUCAAACGCCUCAUCAGUGAGGAUGCUGUGCAGCUUUGCGGCAAGAGGGUCAGUGCUAGAGAGACAGAAGCAUCCGUUCAGGAGAGGAUGAGGACCCGUGUGGUCAUCUGUGACUCCGCACGAGGGGCCGAGGGGAACAGGACAGGACAUGGUGUGGAACAAAAGCACGUGGAGAGAGAAUGAGCUGUGCAAUGUUCUGGCUCUUGCCUUUAGACCGCAGUGAGCCCACAUCCCUCAGCUGCCUCCAGGAGCCCAGGACAGGCACCAGCUCGAGCCUCAGGGGGCCCUGCACACACCUGCUCCUCUGGGUCGGGUGCCCAGAAGAAAGCAGGGGCAGCCUGAGAGCCUCCUUGCAAAGCAAAAGCCCUUCUUUAACAAGAAGGUAAAAAACCAUACUGCUUUCUCUUUUGCCAAAAACACAUCAAUGUGAUAGCGAACCAUGUCUCCGGGUAAACUUGUACUUACUGUACUAUAUUUAUGAUUACUCCAAAAACCACCUCUAGCAAAAACUAUGCAUGAAUGAUAAAUCUACAAUAGUUUUGUGAUUUUUUAAGAUGUGCGUUAAAGCCGGGCAUGGUGGCUCCUGCUUCUAAUUCCAGCACUUUGGGUGGAUCGCUUGAGCUCAGGCGUUUGAGACCAGCCUGGGCAACAUGGUGAACCCGUCUCUACAAAAAAUACAAAAUUAGCCCGGCGUAGUAGCUCAUACCUGUAGUCCCAGCUACUCAGGAAGCUGAGGGAGGUGGAGGCUGCAGUGAGCCAUGAUUGCACCACUCCAGCCUGGGCAAUAAAGUGAGAUCCUGUCUCAAAAAACCCCCAAAAAGACCGACCUGUCGAAACUCAGUGUUAGAUUUUGUGGUGGUGCUAGCUAACCUCCCUGUGACUUCACCUCCAAGGGCUUCUGGGCCACUGGCAGGGGUGCUGCGUCUGCGACGCGAAGGCAAAGGAGCAAAGGCAGCCUCAUCGCGGGCGCUGGGACCCACAUGCUGUGGGAAACCAUUUGGAAGCUCAAGUAAAGAAAGGUGAAAAGUGAAACAUACAAUGUAGCAUAGACAUUACACUUCAAACAGGUAACAAUGAAAACACUGAACAGGAGACAGGGACAAACUAAACACGUAGGAAGAGGUGAUUACCAAGCACAGAGACCCAAGUUUAGAAACGCCCCAGUCCUCUGGCCCUUGUCUUGACACCACCACGCGCUGGGAGAGGAAAGUGCCUAAGACAAGCACACUGCCUCUGAGGACCGUCUGUGAUGCCUCACUCAUGCACAGCUCUCCCAGGACGCUCGCCGGGACCAGAGCACACAGGAUAUCCGUGCAGGGUCCCCACACCCAGGGCUGACGGGCGGCUUCAAGGAGGGCACAU